Molecule: ribosomal RNA, 696 nt
Filed under: Triticum aestivum (bread wheat)
Lineage: Eukaryota; Viridiplantae; Streptophyta; Magnoliopsida; Poales; Poaceae
Description: partial small subunit ribosomal RNA
Source: RNAcentral
AUGGCGCCGGCCUCCAAGGCUGCUCCGCUACUGAUAACCCACUCCGCCCACCCAGGGCACGUACUCAAGCUUUUUGCCGGCAGCCCUCCGUUCCAGUGCGAUGGCUGCAGGCAGUACAGCGACGACGAGCGCUGGUACCGGUGCGAGCCAUGCGACUACGACCUUCAUGUAUGCUGUGCGCUCCUCAGGACCUACCUCACGCAUCCUCUCUUUCCGGGCCGCAUUUUCGCCUUCCGCCACAGGCCUCCCAGCGUUCCGGGUUACAGCUGCAGAUCCUGCGACGGCUGCGGAGACUUGGUGCUCGGCUUCGUGUACCACAACGCCGAGCGCCAGCUCGACCUCCACCCGCAGUGUGCCUCCCUUGCGACGGUCCUCACCGGGGAGGAAGGCGUGUUCAUCCUCUCGGAGGAGGCGCCUGUCCGUGGUAACUGCGGGCUGUGCGGGCAGGGGAAGAACGGGCGCCGUGGCAGGUUCUGGUGCUACCGCUUCAACUACGCCGACGGGGAGCCUGCGUACGUGCAUGUGGCGUGCUUAAUGGAACUACGGGGUCAGGGGACGCUGCAGAGCGCGCCCAGCAGGAGGUCUGGCAGGUUCUUGCGUUUCUGCAAGAUUGCCUUGACCGUCGCCAGGGUGGCACACGCAGUCACCACUAUGGACCCGGUAGGGUUUGUCACCGCAGUUGCAGGCCACCCAUGA